GUAAGGUGGAGCUAAUCCCUUAAAGCUACUCUCAGUUCGGAUUGUAGGCUGAAACUCGCCUACAUGAAGCUGGAGUUACUAGUAAUCGCAGAUCAGAAUGCUGCGGUGAAUGCGUUCCCGGGUCUUGUACACACCGCCCGUCACACCACGGGAGUUGGAGACGCCCGAAGCCGAUUAUCUAACCUUUUGGAAGAAGUCGUCGAAGGUGGAAUCAAUAACUGGGGUGAAGUCGUAACAAGGUAGCCGUAUCGGAAGGUGCGGCUGGAUC
Molecule: ribosomal RNA, 268 nt
Filed under: Clostridioides difficile
Lineage: Bacteria; Bacillati; Bacillota; Clostridia; Peptostreptococcales; Peptostreptococcaceae
Description: partial 16S ribosomal RNA
Rfam family: Bacterial small subunit ribosomal RNA
Source: RNAcentral